AGAGCUGAUUCAUCUGAAGAGAAACGUCACAGGAAACGGAAAAAACAUCAUAGAGGAUAUUUUCAACAAUACCAGCCAUAUCAACGAUAUCCACUAAAUUAUCCUCCUGCGUAUCCAUUUCCUUAAAAUGCUGCUUAGUAACUACAGGACAUGAUUAGAGAGAUUUUUCACAAUGAUUUUUCCUACUCUUUCUGUUGUGUUGAAAACCAUCUUUCAAAUGAAUAAAACAAAGAAAAAAAAAUCAGUCAAGUAGUUGCACAACACAUACUUGGAAUCAAAUAUCAAUAUUUUAAAACAUAAUAAUGACAGUCUCUGAACUAUGUAAUUGGUUUCUACUUUCUUUUCUCUGUCACUUACCAUGCAUGCUUAAUAAAUUGAUCUAUCAAGCAUA
This 391-nucleotide long non-coding RNA is filed under the name Bos taurus (domestic cattle). RNAcentral describes it as "long non-coding RNA NONBTAT022520". The record is from RNAcentral. Lineage: Eukaryota; Metazoa; Chordata; Mammalia; Artiodactyla; Bovidae.